Molecule: ribosomal RNA, 497 nt
Filed under: uncultured bacterium
Lineage: Bacteria
Description: partial 16S ribosomal RNA
Rfam family: Bacterial small subunit ribosomal RNA
Source: RNAcentral
GAUGAACGCUGGCGGCGUGCCUAAUACAUGCAAGUCGAGCGAACAGACGAGGAGCUUGCUCCUCUGACGUUAGCGGCGGACGGGUGAGUAACACGUGGAUAACCUACCUAUAAGACUGGGAUAACUUCGGGAAACCGGAGCUAAUACCGGAUAAUAUAUUGAACCGCAUGGUUCAAUAGUGAAAGACGGUUUUGCUGUCACUUAUAGAUGGAUCCGCGCCGCAUUAGCUAGUUGGUAAGGUAACGGCUUACCAAGGCAACGAUGCGUAGCCGACCUGAGAGGGUGAUCGGCCACACUGGAACUGAGACACGGUCCAGACUCCUACGGGAGGCAGCAGUAGGGAAUCUUCCGCAAUGGGCGAAAGCCUGACGGAGCAACGCUGCGUGAGUGAUGAAGGUCUUCGGAUCGUAAAACUCUGUUAUUAGGGAAGAACAAAUGUGUAAGUAACUAUGCACGUCUUGACGGUACCUAAUCAGAAAGCCACGGCUAACUACGUG